UACGAACUGCGCGAACGUUAUUCGGAAUCACUGGGCUUACAGGGUGCGUAGGCGGCCGAUCAGGUCCGAUGUGAAAUCCCACAGCUCAACUGUGGAAUGGCAUUGGAAACCGACCGGCUCGAGUGAGCUAGAGAUGUACGGAACUUCCGGUGGAGCGGUGAAAUGUGUUGAGAUCGGAAGGAACACCAGAGGCGAAAGCGGUACAUUGGGGCUUGUCUGACGCUGAGGCACGAAAGCUAGGGGAGCGAACGGG
RNAcentral lists this ribosomal RNA (253 nucleotides) under uncultured bacterium. Its description in RNAcentral is "partial 16S ribosomal RNA". It matches the Rfam family "Bacterial small subunit ribosomal RNA", at positions 524 to 776 of the family's 1533-position model. The record is from RNAcentral. RNAcentral also lists the same sequence under 1 other name.